AGAGUUUGAUCCUGGCUCAGAACGAACGCUGGCGGCAGGCUUAACACAUGCAAGUCGAACGAACGUAGCAAUACGUUAGUGGCGCACGGGUGAGUAACGCGUGGAUAUCUGCCUUUUGGUUCGGGAUAACCUUGGGAAACUAGGGCUAAUACCGAAUGGUUCCUACGGGAUAAAGAUUUAUCGCCAAAAGAUGAGUCCGCGUCCGAUUAGCUAGUUGGUGAGGUAAUGGCUCACCAAGGCGACGAUCGGUAGCUGGUCUGAGAGGACGAUCAGCCACACUGGGACUGAGACACGGCCCAGACUCCUACGGGAGGCAGCAGUGGGGAAUAUUGGACAAUGGGGGCAACCCUGAUCCAGCCAUGCCGCGUGAGUGAUGAAGGCCUUCGGGUUGUAAAGCUCUUUUGGCGGGGACGAUGAUGACGGUACCCGCAGAAUAAGCCCCGGCUAACUUCGUGCCAGCAGCCGCGGUAAGACGAAGGGGGCUAGCGUUGUUCGGAAUUACUGGGCGCAAAGCGAGUGUAGGUGGUUGUCGUAGUCAGGCGUGAAAGCCUUGAGCUCAACUCAAGAAAUGCGCUUGAUACUGGGCAGCUAGAGGACCGGAGAGGAUAGUGGAAUUCCCAGUGUAGUGGUGAAAUACGUAGAUAUCGGGAGGAAUACCGGUGGCGAAGGCGACUUUCUGGACCAAUACUGACGCUGAGGCGCGAAAGCGUGGGUAGCAAACAGGAUUAGAUACCCUGGUAGUCCAAGGGCGAAUCGUAGGGCU
This 763-nucleotide ribosomal RNA is filed under the name uncultured bacterium. RNAcentral's name for it is "bacterial SSU rRNA". It matches the Rfam family "Bacterial small subunit ribosomal RNA", at positions 8 to 815 of the family's 1533-position model. The record is from RNAcentral.